Chiloscyllium plagiosum (whitespotted bambooshark) is the source of this 1072-nucleotide non-coding RNA. The record is from RefSeq and is a predicted model, not a curated record. NCBI's taxonomy places the organism in Eukaryota, Metazoa, Chordata, Chondrichthyes, Orectolobiformes, Hemiscylliidae.
ACUUGGAUCAAUUGACCACUGGUUACAGCAGAUUAAUGUGAUUAACAUCUUCCAUUUCCUUACAUUUUCCAUGCUGGAAAUCAGAAACAAAAACAAGAAUACUGGAGAUACUCAGCAGGCCAGUGUCUGAAGAGAAAGAAAGUGUUAACAGGCCAAAUUUUCCAGAUGAUUGGAGACUGGAUAUAUGACUGAAGAUGUGCGUCAGAAACAUGUGGAAACCUGGACUUGGGCAUCACUCAGGCAGUUGUAACUUGUGACAAGUUUGCUGUUAGCUUUCGAUAGUUCCAUGUUUGGAUUGUUACCCAGGAAAUGUUGAUUGAUUAAGACCUAGUUUAUUAACUGGAUAACUCAAAACUGACCUCCAAAUCAUCCUCUAAUCCUCAAUUGCCUCUUGACCCGACAACUACAUGAAGCAAAAAGACUAAUCCAAAUGACCUGAUUACCCCCAAACUAACUGGAUUACAUCUGACCCAACCAAAACACCCUACGGCCAUUGGUUACCUUCCACAACCAGACCUGAUUAACCAGUCUCAAACUGACUACACCUCUGAAACAUUAGACUACCUGAUUAACUCUGAAUUAUCCCAUUAUCAUCCCAAUUGCCUGACCAUGCCCUUGACCUGAUCUCAAUCUCACCUUCAACUCACCUAAUGAUUCUCUCCUCCUUUCAUCUGCCCUUUCACCCUUGUCCCAAGUUUGGACUGUUAAUCUUCCCAUACUGCAACAAAAAGCCAUACAAAGUGUUUGUGUCCUGUCUUAUUCUAAUUCUACUCCAUUCUGAAGGAGCUCCCCAAAGGAUGCUAUCCUGUGAAUUUCUGGAAAAGCUGGAAUUAAUGGAACCCAGUGGAAAUUCACAGCAGCAACAAGAAGUUGAACUUAUAACAAUAGCAAUUUCUUAUUAUUCUUGCCAUUUAAGCCUUGAAUUGUCAGCCAACAGCCCUGAAUUAUUACCAUUUAUCUGAUUGUGAGAAACUUCAAACAGGUCCAAAUAUCUUUUGUUGGGUGUGAUCACCAACAAAUGCUAUGUCAACUUGACUCAUGUGAUGGAAUCCUACCAAGGGGUCUGAAGUUG